UCCGGCCCAGCCAUGGCGGACGAGGCCCCGCGGAAGGGCAGCUUCUCGGCGCUCGUGGGCCGCACCAACGGCCUCACCAAGCCCGCGGCCCUGGCCGCCGCGCCCGCCAAGCCGGGGGGCGCGGGCGGCUCCAAGAAGCUGGUCAUCAAGAACUUCCGAGACAGACCCCGGCUGCCCGACAACUACACGCAGGACACGUGGCGGAAGCUGCACGAGGCGGUGCGGGCCGUGCAGAGCAGCACCUCCAUCAGGUACAACCUCGAGGAGCUCUACCAGGCUGUGGAAAAUCUCUGUUCUCACAAAGUCUCCCCAAUGCUCUACAAGCAACUGCGUCAGGCCUGUGAAGACCACGUCCAGGCACAGAUCCUUCCGUUUAGAGAACCAUCUGCAUUGGCUUUCUGUGAUAGGCAACAAAGUCCCAUCGACUUGGCGACUUAUGGAGACACCCACUUAUCAGCUCACAGUUGUGUCUGUCAGGAGGCCAGGCAGGAUUCAGUGGAUUCUAUGCUCAGUCUCACGGGCAGAGUCAAGGUGUCAGCCAGGUUGGGGCCUCACCUGAGGUCUUUGCUAGCACGGGCAGGCAGUCGGCGGAAGCCAGUUCCUGUGGUAGUGGGACUGAGGGCCCUGCCUUCUGUCCCGUGUUGCUUGGUGUCACUCUCAGCUCCACAUGCACAGGUCCUUGCCUCUCCUCUCACAGCACGACUCUUUUCUGCUUCUAGACCAGCAGGAGAAUCUGCCUGUCUGACCUGCUGAGAUAGGGCCUUAUAUGAUGUAACCCGUAACCCAGUCAAGGAAUGAUGACCUUCGUAUUCACAGCCUCGUUCACAGUUGGAUGUGAGGCAUCCUCCACGUGGGGACAGGGCAGG
Molecule: small RNA, 866 nt
Filed under: Pan troglodytes (chimpanzee)
Lineage: Eukaryota; Metazoa; Chordata; Mammalia; Primates; Hominidae
Description: processed transcript
Source: RNAcentral